Lycium ferocissimum is the source of this 1285-nucleotide long non-coding RNA. RefSeq lists it as uncharacterized. Lineage: Eukaryota; Viridiplantae; Streptophyta; Magnoliopsida; Solanales; Solanaceae. The transcript has 4 exons. The record is from RefSeq and is a predicted model, not a curated record.
UACUUAUCGCGACCAACUAUUUUUCCGGUCGUUAAACUUAAUUUUCUAAUAAACAAUAGCGAGAAAAUAAUAUCCCAUCGUUAAAAAGUGCAACAUCCGGUUGUUAAAUUACAUUGAAGAAAACAAAAAACCGCCAAACUUUUCCCCUCUUGUUUUCUAAUUCCCGCCUUUGCCCACCCACUCCCUUAAAAGAAAAAAAGAAAAAGAAAAACCCUAGACCAAAUAAAAUGACAGCGAUUCCGACUGCUACUUCGUCACUCACUCCGAUCGCUUUCUCUAUUUGUUCGCUUGACACAAAGCUCCGGUGAAGGAACCAUGGUCCAUGGACUCAAAUUUCUGAAAGCGCAAAAUGUUUUGUCAGACAAAUGCUGGAAUGAGACCCUAAAAAGCGGUUAAGAGUCCAACAGGUUCUUGGUAAGGUUUUUUCAACAUAAAAAUUGUGAGAUUCUGAUUAAUUCAGGCUUCCCUGUUACGUAGAAAACUAUGUGUCGACAAAGAGAUGAUUUGAGAUGGUGCACCCUUAUUUUUCAAGUCGAGGAUUGAGGACCCAUAGUGGUACUUAAGGUUAGAGGAGAAAGAAGAAAUAUGCGGGUGUGGUUUGGAAUUUAUCAAUCGAAAGCAUUGGGAUUUUUUUUUUUUUAAUUGAUGCAGCUUUAUUUACAAGGCGUCUCACCUAUAGAAUACUUUCUUAGUACUCUGGAGAAGAAAUACUCUUCACCAGCAAUGUCUAGAGAGGAGAGGCUUUCCCGAAGGAUAGCUUGACUUUAAUUUCAUGGAUCCAACAUUCAGACUAGGUAAAUGAUGUGCUUUAUGUGAUUUUGUUACGAAGCUACACCUCUAAGGUGGCGUAAUUUUCCCGUAACAAUUCAUUUUCUUUUGGAAGGUGCUGCUUUUUACCAAUUAAGAGCUCGCUGUCACUAUGUUCGUGAUCUCAGAAAUGCUCUAGAGUCUGGAUUUUUGACUUACUCUAUUCUGUUACACGCUUCAAAGAUCAAGAAUCCAAAUUCUAAAGAGCUCGUCUUGGAAGAAGGUGCAAAGCAAGUUGAAGCAAACGAAAGUAUUAGAGAACGCGUUGAAGAAACGAAUAUGUUAAAUAGGUUGAAGCAGCAAAGGAACAUGUUUGCUGCUUCAUUAGAGAUUAGUUAAAGAUGUUCGCAUUUGUGCAUGCUACAAUAAUAAUUGCUCUUUUGUUAAGAGUUGACAAUAGAAUGUUAAACAAUUUGGAUGUAUAUACAUUAUGGUUGUGGAAGCUAUGAAUUGUUUUAUGAAGAUUGUUAUUUUCUUG